AUCAUACCGGCUCGUUGGUCAG
This 22-nucleotide small nuclear RNA is filed under the name Arabidopsis thaliana (thale cress). RNAcentral describes it as "snRNA_12057". The record is from RNAcentral. Lineage: Eukaryota; Viridiplantae; Streptophyta; Magnoliopsida; Brassicales; Brassicaceae.